RNAcentral lists this long non-coding RNA (1715 nucleotides) under Olea europaea (common olive). Its description in RNAcentral is "long non-coding RNA (OEUR_LNC005305)". The record is from RNAcentral. Lineage: Eukaryota; Viridiplantae; Streptophyta; Magnoliopsida; Lamiales; Oleaceae.
CUCCAAAUUUCAUUUUCCCCCAAAUCUUGAAACUGUGAAAGCUAAAGGAGUGAAAGGCGAUUGGGGCGAUUGGCGAAGCUGAAGGAAGGGACUGGCGAUUGGGCGAAUGUGAGCGUGAGGAGAUGAGGAGGAGGAGUCGUGAUUGCAGCGAACUCAAUGAUGGAAAUAAGAAAGGUAGUAAUGGUUUAUUAUCGUCUUCUUCUAGAGAGCCAAUUUGUGAUGAAAUGCUGGAAGAUUGGCUUGAUCCUCACAUUUUGACUCAAAUUCCGGAUCUUGGAGGUGAUUGGCUUGCUAAUAUUUGAAUAUAUCUAUUUUCUUAGCCAAAUAUAUGUGAUAGAAAGAACUUAACUAAUUUCUAACAUGUUGUGUAGUUAAAUAAGUGUGUACCAGUGGAUAUUCUUUGAAGAAAAAUGAUGACUGUUUGUCUUUGCUUUUUCUUGAAUUAAUUUUUUUUCUUAUCUCUACCAAUUUUACCUCAAUAUUUCAAAAUUAUUUCUUGUUUUGACACGGUGAAAAGUUAAGUUCAAUUCGUAAAAGGAUUUUGACAGAGAAUUCUAUAUACAAGAAAUUUAUCAUUGGCCACAAGAAAAGUGCAUUUUAUGGGGAAAAAACAUGAAAAAAUUGUAUUUUGAUUCUUUACUGAAAUAAGAUGAAAGCUAUAAAUGAUGUGAGUGUUGCAAAGGUUGUAUCGUACAAUUUUUUUUUUUUUUAGCAUUUUGGGUUUUAUUGAAUUAUAUUUUCAUAUAUAUAUAAUUUUUACGUUUUAAUGCAUUUACAUAUAUAUAUAUAUAUAUAUAUAUAUAUAUAUAUAUAUUGAAUAAUUUAAUAUUAUUUAAUCAAAUUUUAAUAAACGAUCGGCUAUUAUGAUCGUUGAUUGUUGACGGUCAACGACCAUCCUAGGUCGACUUCGGUGCUGGAUUCGCAACUGCUUAUACCACUGUAGUUUUCUAUCAUAACAAAGGAAUUAUUUUAUUUUAUUUUUAUUAAGGGUUAGGUUCAACGCUGGGCAAUUAGGUCUCAAUCACUAGAAGUUCUGGCGUAAUUUUUUUUUUCUUUCAAUUUUAGGUUCAACGCUGGGCAAUUGGGUCUCAAUCACUAGAAGUACUGGUGUCCUGAGCAUGCUAAACUGGAAAAAGCAAUUAAGGAGUUGUGACAUUUUCCAACACCAUAUACCAUUUUAUUGUUGUCUUAUUUGGAAAUUAUUGUUUAAAAAAAAAAAAAAGGUUGAACCCCAACCUUGAAGGCGUCUACCGCCCCCCUCUUAGAGCUUUGUGAGGGAGGUAAAUUACGGGAUGUACCCCAGCAGGUCAGGGAAAAAGAGCUGCCUGUACACUGAGCCUAUAAGGAAAUUUGGAAAUUGUUGUUUGAGAGGCUGCUUCAUGGUUUAUGAUAAGUCUUGGAUUGCUCUCUACGAUAAUUGCACAUAGGGUAAUUGCCAGCCCAGUGGUAACCAGUCUCUGGAAAGUGAAACUUACCAUGGAACUGUUUGGCUAGAAGGGAGUGGAAUAUCAGGGAAAAAUGGUGACUGAUUCUGGACUGACGAGCAAUUUUCGUAAAUUGGUCACUGUUAUACAUGAAUUUACGACAUUUCUGUGCUCUAAUAUUAUCUUAAACUACCGAAUCAAAAAUUAAGACUAUUAGACCGAGGAUAAAUUAAUUUAUUUCUGUUUUAUGUUCAAACUUGGGGUUAGAUAACUUCCCACGGUUGAAGAGAC